ACCCUGACAAGCUUCCCGAGGGUGAAAGAGACCACUUUCCUGCCUCCAGGUGUCUGAAGUGGAACCCUUUCAGGGGCUCAAACCUCCCGCUUUUACUUCAAGAUUUUCAGCAUUCAGCACAACAUGAAAGCUCCUGGUACUGGUGGUGCGUGGCCUUUCAGAUACAGUAGGAACAAUCUGCAGCUGCAGAUGGGAACAGGUUGUUUCUGCCAUUUGUUAUUCUUUCCCCUAAUUAUAAUGCAGAUUGGACACUCUCUCCAGCAUUUCCUCCCUUUCUGUUUAUUUAAGCAGUAUUUUUGCAAACCUACAUGGCAAUCUCACCCUGGGAUGCAAGUGCACCAUUAUAAUCCAAAUGAACUGGGAUUUAUUGCAGUACUUUCCAGGGCUGAAGGCCUUUUCCCCGGCUCCCCUUCUGAUCGGCUGCCAGCGUUUAACCUCCGGGGGGGAAGCGGGGCCAGGCGUCGCGC
This 467-nucleotide long non-coding RNA is filed under the name Apteryx rowi (Okarito brown kiwi). RNAcentral's name for it is "lncRNA (ENSARWG00000009140.1)". Lineage: Eukaryota; Metazoa; Chordata; Aves; Apterygiformes; Apterygidae. The record is from RNAcentral.